RNAcentral lists this long non-coding RNA (639 nucleotides) under Lonchura striata (white-rumped munia). Its description in RNAcentral is "domestica (Bengalese finch) lncRNA (ENSLSDG00000010589.1)". Lineage: Eukaryota; Metazoa; Chordata; Aves; Passeriformes; Estrildidae. The record is from RNAcentral.
CCCUCUUAUUCGAUAAGCAUGGCUGUUUCCCAUGGAGCAGGGUGGUGGGCAGCUCUGUGCAGAAGGGUUUGGAUUAUCCUUUAUUCCCACCUUGUGAGUUUUUGUUGUUGUUGUUUUGGUCUGUUGUUUUUGUUUUUUUUUUUCCUUAGGAGAAACUUUUGAAGGAGAGUAUUUGGUUUUGCAGUAUCAGAUCUGCAAAACCAGUGCUACCUUCUGCUGGUGAUCAGGCCCUUCAAGUGCACUUCUGUACAGCAGGCCACACUUUCUACCUUACAAGAACUGCAAGAAGUGUUCUGAGCAAAAAAAAAGCCCAAAAAACCCCCAUGUAUUAUUGUCCCUGAAGUGCCUGGUGAACAUCACCUUUCAGCUGGGCUUGGUGUUCAAACACAAGGGGCCUGCCCAAGAGUGGGUGACUGGUAAAGGCAAGACAAAACAAAGGAAGCAGAUCAUCCUUCCAUGUGUGCAGUGGAUUUUUGGUGAACUUCCAAGGAACAGUGCAGAAGAUGAUCAGAAUCCAAAAUCCCUGGAGACAAGUGGAGUGGGAAAUAGAAUGACAAGAUGAUGUUCAAUGACUUCCUGAGGCAUUAUUCCCCCUGGAGAUCUGCAACCUGAUCCAGACACCCUGGAAGUGACAGGUAC